CAAUAGCGUAUAUUAACGUUGUUGCAGUUAAAAAGCUCGUAGUUGGAUUUCUGGAUGGAGCGUCGGCCCGUAUUUACGAGUGCGUGACGUCUCUGUCCAUCCUUGCGGGAAGGCACGGCAUUGAUUUGUUGUGUCGGAUCGCAUCAUUUACUGUGAAAAAAUUAGAGUGUUCAAAGCAGGCUUUCGCUUGAAUACAUUAGCAUGGAAUAAUAAGAUAGGACUUUGGUGCUAUUUUGUUGGUUGAGCCUAAAGUAAUGAUUAAUAGGGAUAGUUGGGGGCACCUGUAUUGCGUUGUCAGAGGUGAAAUUCUUGGAUUUACGCAAGACAAACAGCUGCGAAAGCGUCUGCCAAGGAUGUUUUCAUUAA
RNAcentral lists this ribosomal RNA (366 nucleotides) under uncultured eukaryote. RNAcentral's name for it is "partial 18S ribosomal RNA". It matches the Rfam family "Eukaryotic small subunit ribosomal RNA", at positions 592 to 976 of the family's 1831-position model. The record is from RNAcentral.